This 562-nucleotide ribosomal RNA is filed under the name uncultured archaeon. RNAcentral describes it as "bacterial SSU rRNA". It matches the Rfam family "Archaeal small subunit ribosomal RNA", at positions 91 to 656 of the family's 1478-position model. The record is from RNAcentral.
CAGUAACACGUAGUCAACAUGCCCUUUGGACGCGGAUAAUCUCGGGAAACUGAGAAUAAACCGCGAUAGGUCACGAUUUCUGGAAUGGAUUCUGGCUUAAAUCUACAUGGCCCCUGGAUUGGACUGCGGCCGAUCAGGCUGUUGGUGAGGUAAUGGCCCACCAAACCUAUAACCGGUACGGGCUCUGAGAGGAGGAGCCCGGAGAUGGGCACUGAGACAAGGGCCCAGGCCCUAUGGGGCGCAGCAGGCGCGAAACCUCUGCAAUAGGCGAAAGCCUGACAGGGUUACUCUGAGUGAUUUCCGCUAAGGGGAUCUUUUGGCACCUCUAAAAAUGGUGCAGAAUAAGGGGUGGGCAAGUCUGGUGUCAGCCGCCGCGGUAAUACCAGCACCCCGAGUGGUCGGGACGAUUAUUGGGCCUAAAGCAUCCGUAGCCGGUUCUGCAAGUCUUCCGUUAAAUCCAGCCGCUCAACGGAUGGGCCGCGGAGGAUACUAUAGGACUAGGAGGCGGGAGAGGCAAGCGGUACUCAGUGGGUAGGGGUAAAAUCCUUUGAUCCAUUGAAGA